RNAcentral lists this long non-coding RNA (734 nucleotides) under Helianthus annuus (common sunflower). The record is from RNAcentral. Lineage: Eukaryota; Viridiplantae; Streptophyta; Magnoliopsida; Asterales; Asteraceae.
CGUGGGGAACGACCAGAGCAGGAAGAAAAAGGGUAAAACCCUAAACUCCACAAAAUCUUCUAAUUGAAGGUGCAAUUGAAGACCAAACUCGGAUUUGAAUACAUAUAAACGAUCACCGAGCUAAGGGGAUCGUAAGGUAUGUCGAAAUUUAUAUUGACUCUAAACAAGCUAGGUGGGAGCUUGGAAAGGAACGGGUCAAACGGAUCAUGGAUGCGAAGAAUGUUUGCGCGAACGCGAGGUAAGUAAAGCUUACACCCAUUUGUAGUAAACGUAUGUAUUUUAUAGAUGAUAAAUGUGACAACCGAUUACAUUCGAAAUUGAAGUUCCGACACUAAGCAAUAUGAGUCGGAACGAAUAAAAAUGAUCAAAACCAUGGUUAAUGGUAAAAUGGACAAAAGGGUAAUUUAGUCGUGGAUCGACUAAGAAUUUAUAAGAUUUCUUUAAGGUUACCUUAUAGCGAAACUAGUAAUGGGAAAAAGGGUAAAUUAGUCACAUGUUGACUAUAUGUAAGUUGGGAUUAAAAAGAAUACCCAUGGUGUAAGCCAUAACGAGUUAGAUACGUAAGAAGAAUGAUCUUGUAGUUAAAACUUGAAAUGGGUUGAAUGGGAUAUUAAAAGCCAUGAUUUGACAUAAGUAUAAAUGUUUGGUCAUAAAUACCAAAUGGGUCAAAUGGUGGUGAUGACACUAUUUGACAAUAUCGACUAAUGUUUGGUUGUUAAGUUAAAUGUUCGCAG